UUGACAAGGUACAGUCUUCUUUUUUUUCUUUUUACCCGUCAGAAAUGUUCUCUGUUGUCUUCUUCUGUUUUGUCCAACGUCUGACACACUGCCCUGGGUGAUUGAACCAGAUGUGGAAAUCCAAAGAGGAGAUGCUCCCCCUAAUACCUGACACCUGGUGCAGAUUUGGAAGGGAUUGCACUGCAGUUACACCAACACCCUGGAAUCGGGAGAUGAUUUAAAACCAAAUGUGUUGUUUUCUGGAGUUCCUUCUCAUCUGCAGGCUGCGCUGGGACAGAACAAAAAGCCAACAUCAACACAUAAAGGACAUCAAAUCCUGUCAACCCUGUGAUAUCUGAGCUAGGUGAUCACAAUGCACCUUCGUGUCAUCUGACCCGGAAAUGGGCAGGCAUUAUUUGGACCGAGUUGGAACAUUAUGCUCAAGAGCUGCAAAACAGACCAGAUACAGCUAGAGGCGCAGCGCCGUGCAUGUUUAGUCAUGUUAUCACCAAAAUGUCAAUGUGUUUCACUGGGAUUUCUUAUGAUAGACCAAUACAAAGAAAGAAAAUAAUACAUAAUUUUAAAAAUAUUUCACUUAGAAAAUCUAACACAUAUGCCAUAUGUAUAUUUGCAUUUAGCUGCCUGAGUCAGCUCUUUGUAGAACCACAUUUUGCUGCAGUUUUCAGUGCAACUCUUUUGGAGAAUGGCUCCACCAGCCCUCUCUGUCAACAGAAAGCAAUUUUUGCCAAUUUCUCUUUGCAGUUCGUUUUGGAGCAUCAGCCAUUUUGACGUCGCAAACACUGCCAAUUUACUUUUGAGCUGGAUUUUGGCAAGAACAUGCAAAACCUGAAUGCAUAGGAUUUAAAUUAUUUAUUUGUAGGUCCAGGUGUAUGUUUAGGGUCAUGAUCUAUUUGGAAAAUGAACUUCAGCCCAGCCUCAAGCCAUUAUGGGGUAGGGUGUUUUGUUCCACCUAACGAGUCAAAAAUGAAUGACGUUGGUUUCAUCUGACCAAAGCACCUUCUAUUCAAAGCCUGUUAUGUGACUUCAUGCAGGGUUCUUUCCACAAAGGAUUUCUUUCUGUUAUUCCUUGUUAGUGUUUUUACUUUUCAAGCAUACAACUAAUAGUUUCCCUGUCAGUGGAUUAUCCCUCCUGAGCUGUUGAUCUCUGUUACUCAUCCAGAGAAACCAUAAACCUUUUGCUGCUUUUGAUUAAAGUUUCCCUUGCCAGGCUUUUAAAAUUUAGGAGUAUGGCCAUCUUUUGUUAGGGAAACAGUUAUGCCGCACUCUCCGAGAUUUCCAGAUCUUGGGAAAUUGUUUUAUUUCAUAAUCUUGCUUUCAGCUUCUCCCUUUUAGCUGACCCUUUAAAUUUAGGGUAAUCUAAUUAAAGAAGACUGAAUGCAAACGAAUGCCACACUCUUUUGAUUUUCACUUGGAAAACAAUAGGAAAGCACAAAAAUCCCAUGUUCUUUCCUUGUACUCUGUGUUGAUCUUUCACAUAAACAUCCAAUAAAAUAUAUUCAUUC
Long non-coding RNA from Poecilia latipinna (sailfin molly), 1502 nucleotides. RefSeq lists it as uncharacterized. NCBI's taxonomy places the organism in Eukaryota, Metazoa, Chordata, Actinopteri, Cyprinodontiformes, Poeciliidae. The transcript has 2 exons. The record is from RefSeq and is a predicted model, not a curated record.